Molecule: ribosomal RNA, 329 nt
Filed under: uncultured eukaryote
Lineage: Eukaryota
Description: partial 18S ribosomal RNA
Rfam family: Eukaryotic small subunit ribosomal RNA
Source: RNAcentral
CCCUUAGAUGUCCUGGGCCGCACGCGCGCUACACUGAGUGUCUGAGAUACGAGUCUGCCUGGUCCGGCAAGGUCUAGGUAAUCGCUAAAAGACACAUCAUGCUUGGGAUAGAUUAUUGCAAAUAUUAAUCUUGAACGAGGAAUUCCUAGUAAGCGCAAGUCAACAGCUUGCGUUGAUUACGUCCCUGCCCUUUGUACACACCGCCCGUCGCUACUACUGAUUGGAUGUUUGAGCGAGGUUCUCGAACUGCUAGCGACUUAGCUUCGGUGAGGUCGCAGUGUGGGAAGUGAACCGAGCUUUGGUGUCUAGAGGAAGUAAAAGUCGUAACA